Molecule: ribosomal RNA, 468 nt
Filed under: uncultured bacterium
Lineage: Bacteria
Description: partial 16S ribosomal RNA
Rfam family: Bacterial small subunit ribosomal RNA
Source: RNAcentral
GACGAACGCUGGCGGCGUGCUUAACACAUGCGAGUCGAACGAUGAUGCCAGCUUGCUGGUGGAUUAGUGGCGCACGGGUGAGUAACACGUGAGCAACCUGCCCCUGACUUCGGGAUAACCGCGGGAAACCGUGGCUAAUACCGGAUAUGACGCGCUAUCGCAUGGUGGUGUGUGGAAAGAUUUAUCGGUUGGGGAUGGGCUCGCGGCCUAUCAGCUUGUUGGUGGGGUGAUGGCCUACCAAGGCGACGACGGGUAGCCGGCCUGAGAGGGUGACCGGCCACACUGGGACUGAGACACGGCCCAGACUCCUACGGGAGGCAGCAGUGGGGAAUAUUGCACAAUGGGCGCAAGCCUGAUGCAGCGACGCCGCGUGAGGGAUGACGGCCUUCGGGUUGUAAACCUCUUUCAGUAGGGAAGAAGGCCUUCGGGUUGACGGUACCUGCAGAAGAAGCGCCGGCUAACUACGUG